UACGAAGGGUGCAAGCGUUGUUCGGAAUUACUGGGCGUAAAGGGCGUGUAGGCGGAUUGUUCAGUCAGGAGUGAAAUCCCGGGGCUUAACUUCGGAAUUGCUUUUGAGACGGAUGAUCUAGAGUGCGUUAGGGGACAAUGGAACACCCAGUGUAGAGGUGAAAUUCGUAGAUAUUGGGUAGAACACCGGAGGCGAAGGCGAUUGUCUGGGGCGUAACUGACGCUGAGGCGCGAAAGCGUGGGGAUCAAAC
This 250-nucleotide ribosomal RNA is filed under the name uncultured prokaryote. Its description in RNAcentral is "partial 16S ribosomal RNA". It matches the Rfam family "Bacterial small subunit ribosomal RNA", at positions 524 to 773 of the family's 1533-position model. The record is from RNAcentral.